GCUAUAGCGGUUUCAAGAGACCACAAGCUGGAUUAGACGAAUGAGAGACAUAAGAUAGAGGAAGCCGUAGUUUUUGUGAUGUGGGCUGGAACAUGGCGUGUAGGUGGCGUCGUCACAGUUUUAUGAGCAUUUGGGGACAAGCUCUUGAAGCAGUAUUUGGUUGCUAACCCAAAGAUCAAGGAGGAGGUGGUGGACAACUCGUCCUCAUCCUUGCAAACGAUGGCCUUUGGGAUGUGGUGACCAACGAGGAAGUCGUUGCCAUGGUGAAGCUGAUCCUAGACUCGAAGCAGAGGCCUCCCACCGCGGAACAACUAAAACAUCGUCUGCGUCACCGUGCGCUUUCUGGAGUAGAACAAUGGGCUUGCCUCUUCCUGGAGCAGCACAAUGGUCUUCAUGUCUUGCCAGGGCCACCAACAAUCAGGCAUCGUUAGUUCCUUGAGAUGUCGAAGGGUUUAGGGUUAUCCGUGUGUUGCGACGGCUCACAACAAUACCCACGUAAAUUAUCCACCAAAAAGAUCUCAAGAUUUUUUAUUAUUUGCC
This is a long non-coding RNA of Zea mays, 540 nucleotides long. RefSeq lists it as uncharacterized. The transcript has 4 exons. NCBI's taxonomy places the organism in Eukaryota, Viridiplantae, Streptophyta, Magnoliopsida, Poales, Poaceae. The record is from RefSeq and is a predicted model, not a curated record.